Molecule: ribosomal RNA, 387 nt
Filed under: uncultured bacterium
Lineage: Bacteria
Description: bacterial SSU rRNA
Rfam family: Bacterial small subunit ribosomal RNA
Source: RNAcentral
AUUGAACGCUGGCGGCAUGCCUUACACAUGCAAGUCGAACGGCAGCACGGGAGCAAUCCUGGUGGCGAGUGGCGAACGGGUGAGUAAUAUAUCGGAACGUGCCCAGUCGUGGGGAUAACGUAGCGAAAGUUACGCUAAUACCGCAUACGAUCUAAGGAUGAAAGCGGGGGACUCGCAAGAGCCUCGCGCGAUUGGAGCGGCCGAUAUCAGAUUAGGUAGUUGGUGGGGUAAAGGCUCACCAAGCCAACGAUCUGUAGCUGGUCUGAGAGGACGACCAGCCACACUGGGACUGAGACACGGCCCAGACUCCUACGGGAGGCAGCAGUGGGGAAUUUGGACAAUGGGCGCAAGCCUGAUCCAGCAAUGCCGCGUGCAGGAUGAAGGCCU